GCAGAGAAAGCAGGGCUUCUGUUGUGAGGGGACAGCACCCCCAACCUGGCCCUCAACAGCCUUCACAAGUUUGUGGUUCCAAAAGCAGUUUUAUUUUUCUUCUUGUAAAUCAUGACCAGUGAGAAAUAAUGUGUGCCCCACCCCCCACCAGUGAAGAAGCUGUGCUCAAACUGAGAACAGCAUCCUCAGUGCCGGACAAAGCGCAGAGACCUGGAGUUGAGCAGGUCUUCGGGGUCGGGGAAGACAGAGUCUAGUCGGAAGCCGUGCUCGAGAGCCACCCGCAGCACCUCCUCCAGGAAGCUUGGGGUGCCCACCACCUCCCGCCGCUCUCCUGGCCCCCCAGUCCACAGCGGCUGCAGCCCCAGUCUCCCAUACUCCACCUCGGGGAGUUCCACGGGGCGGGGGGCCCACUCCAGAUGAAAAUGUGGGCUCCCCUCUGCCCUAUCCCCACUGGCCACACCAAAUCGGGCCCGCAAAGCACCUAGACACUCAGAGUCGGUGCAGAAAAGGUUGGCUCGGAAGGUGUCCACCUGGACGGAGCUCAGCUCAUAGUGAUGGGGUCCCCGGCGAGCAGAGAAGUGCACCAGGCGGGGGCUGACAUCUACAUCUGCGUGGAGCAGGGCAGCUGUGGGUGCAGGGGUCCCCUGAGAGGCCUCCAGUUCCCGCAGCGCGUCCAGGAGGGGCCGGAUCUGGUAGAAGUCAGCCUCUGCCCUGAGCAGCGCUGUCUCUCCGUACCCACGGGGCAGGUCCAGGCGGCCCAGCCUCAGGAAAUUGAGGAUGUGCCGGAAGGCCUUGCCAUCCCGGUCGAUGAAGUAGUGGCCGCCUCCUUGGGAAUUGAGGUUGGGGGGCAUGGGGGUGCCGGCCCUAAACAUGGCCCCCAGCAUAGAGUCUGGGAAGCGGGUCAGGGUCUCCAAAGUGGUGGAAUAUAGUGUGCCCCCCACAUUCAGGGUCACGGGGCCCCCAAAGGAGGGGGGCGAAGAGGGCACAGGAGGAGGAGAAAUUUUGGGAAGUACAGGAGACACCGAAAGAAAAGAAAAGGCAGAACUUCCUGGGUGUGUGCAGAAUUGGGUCGAAGCUGUCAGAUUCGCUGGGUUGGAGGCACAGGUGGAGCACACCCAGUAAGGUUUGGGGCUCACCCCGGCUACUUUGGUGGUGGAUGGGGAGGUGGUGUCAGGACACAGAAAUCCCCAAAAGGUUGAGAGAAGAGAUGAAAAGAGCAGAGGGCAGCCAGAGAGGGGAAGGGAGCUUGAGGUCUGGACGUAUCCGAUUUGGGGUGGUCAGCGACACCCCUCUGUGGUCUUCAGACAGUGGGUUUCCGGAAUCCAACCAGCAGGUGACGGUGGCGAGCACAGGGCCGACUCUGAAGGGAUGGCCUCCGAGACCCCGGGCAGAUCGCUGCCGCCGUGGACGAGUCCAGCCAGGGCUCUGGGGCCACUCAGAGGCCUGGCCUGGCUGCCGGCGCGGGUCCCAGGAGAUGGAGGCCGAACUGACGGGAGCGGAUGGCGGAGCCCCCUUGUAUCCGCCGGGGAGCGACGAUGCGUGCUCAGCCCGGGCUGGGAGUGUCCGAGGGCUCUGAUGGAAACAGCCAGGAGUUUCGGGACCCGGCCGCGCCGCCUUCCCUGGGUGUCGCCGCAGCCGCUGAGGUCCUCUCCGCCCCCAGGAAGUGGCCUAAGGGCAGCGGCCCGGGGCCCUUUAAGAGACAGCCCCGCCCCUUGGCGCCCCGCCCCCGCCCCCGCGAGGCUCGCGCGGCCCGGGCGGAGGUGGGAGGCUGGAGGCG
RNAcentral lists this long non-coding RNA (1777 nucleotides) under Homo sapiens (human). RNAcentral's name for it is "non-protein coding lnc-NEURL4-4:1". The record is from RNAcentral. Lineage: Eukaryota; Metazoa; Chordata; Mammalia; Primates; Hominidae.